UACGGAGGAUGCAAGCGUUAUCCGGAUUUAUUGGGUUUAAAGGGUGCGUAGGCGGAAAUUUAAGUCAGUGGUGAAAUCCUACAGCUCAACUGUAGAACUGCCAUUGAUACUGAUUUUCUUGAGUAUAGUUGAGGUGGGCGGAAUGUGUAAUGUAGCGGUGAAAUGCUUAGAGAUUACACAGAACACCGAUUGCGUAGGCAGCUCACUAAACUAUUACUGACGCUCAGGCACGAAAGCGUGGGGAGCGAACAGGAUUAGAUACCCUCGUA
RNAcentral lists this ribosomal RNA (269 nucleotides) under uncultured prokaryote. RNAcentral describes it as "partial 16S ribosomal RNA". It matches the Rfam family "Bacterial small subunit ribosomal RNA", at positions 524 to 792 of the family's 1533-position model. The record is from RNAcentral.